AUUGAACGCUGGCGGCAGGCCUAACACAUGCAAGUCGAGCGAGCGGCGGACGGGUGAGUAAUGUCUGGGAAACUGCCUGAUGGAGGGGGAUAACUACUGGAAACGGUAGCUAAUCCCGCAUACCACCGGUGUUCCCAGAAGGGGUUAGCUGGUGGGUGGGGUAACGGCUAACCUAGGCGACGAUCCCUAGCUGGUCUGAGAGGAUGACCAGCCACACUGGAACUGAGACACGGUCCAGACUCCUACGGGAGGCAGCAGUGGGGAAUAUUGCACAAUGGGCGCAAGCCUGAUGCAGCCAUGCCGGGUGUGUGAAGAAGGCCUUCGGGUUGUAAAGCACUUUCAGCGGGGAGGCGUUACCCGCAGAAGAAGCACCGGCUAACUCCGUGCCAGAGCCGCGGUAAUAC
Molecule: ribosomal RNA, 404 nt
Filed under: uncultured bacterium
Lineage: Bacteria
Description: partial 16S ribosomal RNA
Rfam family: Bacterial small subunit ribosomal RNA
Source: RNAcentral